GAUUUCUCAUUUGUUUUGAGAAUUAGAUAUAAGGUGUUAAUUAUAUGAUAAUGUUUCUACUUUCUUGGGAGGAAACUGAUUGAACAUACAUGUUUAAACCAUAAAACAAUAAUGGACUUGUCAAGAAAAGUGAUAUGAAAGUUGUAGCUUUGGAUGCAUACUUUCUCAAAUGAAGGACAUUUUACAAAACCCUGGUAUUAUUUAUCAAAGACUAUAGGUUAAUGUUGGAAUAAGAUGCAGUUGCGCAAGGGGAAGAACCAAAUGACUGAUUUUAGUAAUGAUUUUUAUUUUAAUUUAUUAUUAUUAUUUUGGAAUGAUGAUGCUUGAUUUUUACUAGUAAUAAUUUUUUUUUCCGUUUGUUGUUUGACCAAGGCUCUGUUUAUAUAUUCUUACAUUUGGAGCUCUUCUCCUCUCUUAAUUUUGAUUUAUUAAGUCUAUAGAAUUCUUGCAGUAUGUCUUAAACCCCAAUUUCAACCUUUUUUUACUCCUUUUGAAACCUGGGCAGUUGGGAUUUUAUCUAUGCGGAAUAUGUGAUGGUGGCUGGAUCUCACUAUCGAUCAGUCCUUCAGCAGAUUGCUGAAGAUUAUUCCCAUAGCGAGUUUGUAAUCCGUCUACCUGGGUACAGCCCAAUGCCUGCAUUUUAUGGUGUUAUUGAUGUACCCCUUGUCAUGACGAGAUUACACAAAUCUAGAGAAGAGGUGUGAUUUAGAAC
Quercus robur (English oak) is the source of this 712-nucleotide long non-coding RNA. RefSeq lists it as uncharacterized. The transcript has 3 exons. NCBI's taxonomy places the organism in Eukaryota, Viridiplantae, Streptophyta, Magnoliopsida, Fagales, Fagaceae. The record is from RefSeq and is a predicted model, not a curated record.